RNAcentral lists this long non-coding RNA (307 nucleotides) under Capsella rubella. RNAcentral describes it as "long non-coding RNA (CRUB_LNC000075)". The record is from RNAcentral. Lineage: Eukaryota; Viridiplantae; Streptophyta; Magnoliopsida; Brassicales; Brassicaceae.
GUAUUAGCUAUAAGUUCUUUCGGUCCGUUUUUAUGAUCCUCGACUUUGCGUAUUAGCUCUAAGUUCUUUCGGUCGUUUUUAUGAUCUCCGACUUUGCGUAUUAGCUCUAAGUUCUUUCGGUCCAUUUUGCGUAUUAGCUCUGAGUUAUUUCGGUCCGUUUUUAUGAUCCCCAACUUUGCGUAUUAGCUCUAAGUUCUUUCGGUCCGAUUUUAUGAUCCACAACUUUGCAUAUUAGCUCUAAGUUCUUUCGGUCUGUUUUUAUGAUCCCCGACUUUGCGUAUUAGCUCUAAGUUCUUUCGGUCGUUUU